CCUACGGGUGGCAGCAGUGGGGAAUAUUGCACAAUGGGGGAAACCCUGAUCCAGCGACGCCGCGUGAGUGAAGAAGGAUUUCGGUCUGUAAAGCUCUAUUAGCAGGGAAGAAAAUGACGGUAACUGAAUAAGAUGCUCCGGCUAACUACGUGCCAGCAGCCGAGGUACGACGGAGGGGGCAAGGGGUAUCCGGAUUUACUGGGUGUAAAGGGAGCGUAGACGGAAGGACAAGUCAGGAGUGAAAUGCCGGGGCUUAACCCUAGAACUGCUUUGGAAACUGGGCAGCUAGAGUGCAGGAGAGGUGAGUGGAAUUCCGAGUGUAGCGGUGAAAUGCGUAGAUAUCACGAAGAACUCCAAUGGCGAAGGCAGCUUACUGGACUGUAACUGACAUUGAGGCUCGAAAGUGUGGGGAGCAAACAGGAUUAGAUACCCUAGUAGUC
Molecule: ribosomal RNA, 440 nt
Filed under: uncultured bacterium
Lineage: Bacteria
Description: partial 16S ribosomal RNA
Rfam family: Bacterial small subunit ribosomal RNA
Source: RNAcentral